This is a non-coding RNA of Podarcis lilfordi (Lilford's wall lizard), 282 nucleotides long. The record is from the annotation of a GenBank genome assembly. Lineage: Eukaryota; Metazoa; Chordata; Lepidosauria; Squamata; Lacertidae.
AUAGAAUCAUAGAAUCAUAGAGUUGGAAGAGACCACAAGGGCCAUCGAGUCCAACCCCCUGCCAAGCAGGAAACACCAUCAGAGCACUCCUGACAUAUGGUUGUCAAGCCUCUGCUUAAAGACCUCCAAAGAAGGAGACUCCACCACACUCCUUGGCAGCAAAUUCCACUGGCGAACAGCUCUUACUGUCAGGAAGUUCUUCCUAAUGUUUAGGUGGAGUCUUCUUCUUGUAGUUUGGAUCCAUUGCUCCGUGUCCGCUUCUCUGGAGCAGCAGAAAACAAC